Molecule: long non-coding RNA, 323 nt
Filed under: Cricetulus griseus (Chinese hamster)
Lineage: Eukaryota; Metazoa; Chordata; Mammalia; Rodentia; Cricetidae
Description: lncRNA (ENSCGRG00015037515.1)
Source: RNAcentral
CGCCAGUCAAGUUACUGUAUCAAAACACAAAAGGGGCAACACCAUGUACCCUGCAGUGGCGGAAGUGGACUCCACCUUCUAAUACCUGAAUAGGUCCUUCAUAUCCAACUCCACUCUCUAAGCAGUACAUGGUUCACUAUAAACACGUCAGUCAGAAGGGACUCGUCUACACUGAGAAGACAUUAUCUUGCUAAUAGCAUCUAAGAAAGGAUUUUUUGGAACCCAGUUUGGCCUUGAACUCACUAUACAUCCAAGGCUGGGCAUGAACUCCUGAUCUUCCUGCCUCCACCUUCCAAGUGCUGGAAUUACAGACAUUGGUCACC